This 557-nucleotide ribosomal RNA is filed under the name Diaporthe sp. RNAcentral's name for it is "eukaryotic LSU rRNA". The stretch from base 197 to 350 matches the Rfam family "5.8S ribosomal RNA". The record is from RNAcentral. Lineage: Eukaryota; Fungi; Ascomycota; Sordariomycetes; Diaporthales; Diaporthaceae.
GGGCCUGCGGAGGGAUCAUUGCUGGAACGCGCCCCAGGCGCACCCAGAAACCCUUUGUGAACUUAUACCUUACUGUUGCCUCGGCGCAUGCCGGCCCCCCUGGGGGCCCCUCCUUCUGGAGGAGCAGGCACGCCGGCGGCCAACCCAACUCUUGUUUUUACACUGAUACUCUGAGAAUAAAACAUAAAUGAAUCAAAACUUUCAACAACGGAUCUCUUGGUUCUGGCAUCGAUGAAGAACGCAGCGAAAUGCGAUAAGUAAUGUGAAUUGCAGAAUUCAGUGAAUCAUCGAAUCUUUGAACGCACAUUGCGCCCUCUGGUAUUCCGGAGGGCAUGCCUGUUCGAGCGUCAUUUCAACCCUCAAGCCUGGCUUGGUGAUGGGGCACUGCCUGUAAAAGGGCAGGCCCUGAAAUUCAGUGGCGAGCUCGCCAGGACCCCGAGCGCAGUAGUUAAACCCUCGCUUUGGAAGGCCCUGGCGGUGCCCUGCCGUUAAACCCCCAACUUCUGAAAAUUUGACCUCGGAUCAGGUAGGAAUACCCGCUGAACUUAAGCAUAUCU